Molecule: ribosomal RNA, 640 nt
Filed under: uncultured marine eukaryote
Lineage: Eukaryota
Description: SSU rRNA
Rfam family: Eukaryotic small subunit ribosomal RNA
Source: RNAcentral
GUUAAAAAGCUCGUAGUUGGAUUUCGGAGUGGGCCAGUUGGUCCGCCGCAAGGUGUGUUACUGACUGGUCUGCUCUUCUUCGCAAAGACUGCGUGUGCUCUUUGUUGAGUGUGCGUAGGAUUUACGACGUUUACUUUGAAAAAAUUAGAGUGUUCAAAGCAGGCUAUUGCUUGAAUACAUGAGCAUGGAAUAAUGGAAUAGGACUUUGGUCCCAUUUUGUUGGUUUCUAGGACCGAAGUAAUGAUUAAGAGGGACAAUUGGGGGCAUCCGUAUUUCGUUGUCAGAGGUGAAAUUCUUGGAUUUACGAAAGACGAACAACUGCGAAAGUACUUGCCAAGAGUGUUUUCAUUAAUCAAGAACGAAAGUUAGAGGAUCGUAGACGAUCAGAUACCGUCCUAGUUCUAACCAUAAACGAUGUCGACUAGGGAUCAGCGGGCGUUAUCGUACGACCCCGUUGGCACCUUACGGGAAACCAAAGUUUCUGGAUUCUGGGGGAAGUAUAGUCGCAAGGCCGAAACUUAAAGGAAUUGACGGAAGGGCACCACCAGGAGUGGAGCCUGUGGCUCAAUUUGACUCAACACGGGAAAACUUACCAGGUCCAGACAUAAGUAAGGAUUGACAGGGUUGAGAGCCCCUUUCU